This 240-nucleotide ribosomal RNA is filed under the name uncultured bacterium. RNAcentral's name for it is "partial 16S ribosomal RNA". It matches the Rfam family "Bacterial small subunit ribosomal RNA", at positions 93 to 334 of the family's 1533-position model. The record is from RNAcentral.
CGACGGCGCACGGGUGAGUAACGCGUAUCCAACCUGCCUUACACUCUUGGACAGCCUUCUGAAAGGAGAUUAAUACAAGAUGUUAUCAUGAGUAGGCAUUUUCGCAUGAUUAAAGGUUUACCGGUGUAAGAUGGGGAUGCGUUCCAUUAGAUAGUAGGCGGGGUAACGGCCCACCUAGUCUUCGAUGGAUAGGGGUUCUGAGAGGAAGGUCCCCCACAUUGGAACUGAGACACGGUCCAA